This 901-nucleotide ribosomal RNA is filed under the name uncultured bacterium. RNAcentral's name for it is "bacterial SSU rRNA". It matches the Rfam family "Bacterial small subunit ribosomal RNA", at positions 27 to 906 of the family's 1533-position model. The record is from RNAcentral.
GAACGAACGCUGGCGGCGUGCCUAACACAUGCAAGUCGAGCGAGAAAGCCCGCAAGGGUGAGUAAAGCGGCGCACGGGUGCGUAACACGUGGGUAAUCUGCCCUGAAGUCCGGAAUAACUCGCCGAAAGGCGUGCUAAUGCCGGAUAAGACCACGGGAGCUUCGGCUCCUGCGGGAAAAGGUGGCCUCUGUACACAAGCUAUCACUUCAGGAUGAGCCCGCGGCCCAUCAGCUCGUUGGCGGGGUAAUGGCCCACCAAGGCUACGACGGGUAGCUGGUCUGAGAGGACGAUCAGCCACACUGGAACUGAGACACGGUCCAGACUCCUACGGGAGGCAGCAGUGGGGAAUCUUGCGCAAUGGGCGAAAGCCUGACGCAGCAACGCCGCGUGUGUGAUGAAGGUCUUCGGAUCGUAAAGCACUGUCGCGAGGGACGAAUAAGGGGCGGGCUAACAUCCCGUUCCGAUGACGGUACCUCGAGAGGAAGCACCGGCUAACUCUGUGCCAGCAGCCGCGGUAAUACAGAGGGUGCAAGCGUUGUUCGGAAUUAUUGGGCGUAAAGCGCGUGUAGGCGGCUUUGUAAGUUGGGUGUGAAAGCCCUCGGCUUAACCGAGGAAGUGCGCCCAAAACUGCAUGGCUUGAGUACCGGAGAGGGUGGCGGAAUUCCCGGUGUAGAGGUGAAAUUCGUAGAUAUCGGGAGGAACACCAGCGGCGAAGGCGGCCACCUGGACGGAUACUGACGCUGAGACGCGAAAGCGUGGGGAGCAAACAGGAUUAGAUACCCUGGUAGUCCACGCUGUAAACGAUGAGCGCUAGGUGUUGUGGGUGUUGACCCCUGCAGUGCCGCAGCUAACGCAUUAAGCGCUCCGCCUGGGAAGUACGGCCGCAGGGCUAAACUCAAAU